CCGUGGUUCCAGUUACAAGUGAGGCCUUUUUGAGAACAUCUGGUGAUGGCGUAAUGAACAACACCUGUUAUAGAUCGGGACGUACGAAUAAAAGUGCUUCUGAGACGUGGGUCGAGGCACGUGGGAAGUGACAUCAUCCCAUGCUGCCACUUGAUCGCGCGUUGUUUGUGGAUCUGUCGUCAGUAGUUAAAUUGAUGUGUUAAUUUUAAAUGUAAACCCCUAGAAUUAUGUAAUAAAAAAUAUUCUUCAUUAUA
Molecule: long non-coding RNA, 254 nt
Organism: Cyprinus carpio (common carp)
Lineage: Eukaryota; Metazoa; Chordata; Actinopteri; Cypriniformes; Cyprinidae
Source: RefSeq, a predicted model, not a curated record